CUCCAGACUCCUACGGGAGGCAGCAGUGGGGAAUAUUGCACAAUGGGCGAAAGCCUGAUGCAGCGACGCCGCGUGAAGGAUGAAGUAUUUCGGUAUGUAAACUUCUAUCAGCAGGGAAGAAAAUGACGGUACCUGACUAAGAAGCCCCGGCUAACUACGUGCCAGCAGCCGCGGUAAUACGUAGGGGGCAAGCGUUAUCCGGAUUUACUGGGUGUAAAGGGAGCGUAGACGGCCAGACAAGUCUGAAGUGAAAAUCCAGCGCUUAACGUUGGAAGUGCUUUGGAAACUGCCGGGCUGGAGUGCAGGAGGGGCAGGCGGAAUUCCUAGUGUAGCGGUGAAAUGCGUAGAUAUUAGGAGGAACACCAGUGGCGAAGGCGGCCUGCUGGACUGCAACUGACGUUGAGGCUCGAAGGCGUGGGGAGCAAACAGGAUUAGAUACCCCGGUAUU
This 448-nucleotide ribosomal RNA is filed under the name uncultured bacterium. RNAcentral describes it as "bacterial SSU rRNA". It matches the Rfam family "Bacterial small subunit ribosomal RNA", at positions 329 to 794 of the family's 1533-position model. The record is from RNAcentral.